GUUUGGAAGCCCGCACGGUACGGUCCAGAGGGUGAACACAUCCUGGCCUGUGCACCUCUCUACCAGUGGAGCACGUACAGUUUCUCCGAGCGAGAGCCUGUUGGAACGUGUUUCUUGAAGAAAGGACGAGACGUGGUGGAAUACUCUCCUUGUCGAUCUAAUGCUAACUCUCCAGAGGGACAAGGAUUCUGUCAGGCUGGAUUCAGUAUUGACUUUGUCAAGAAUAACAGGGUGGUUGUUGGAGGCCCUGGUAGUUUCUAUUGGCAAGGUAAGUGAU
Salvelinus sp. IW2-2015 is the source of this 277-nucleotide non-coding RNA. NCBI's taxonomy places the organism in Eukaryota, Metazoa, Chordata, Actinopteri, Salmoniformes, Salmonidae. The record is from RefSeq and is a predicted model, not a curated record.